UGCGUAGGCGGGUCUUUAAGUCAGGGGUGAAAUCCUGGAGCUCAACUCCAGAACUGCCUUUGAUACUGAGGGUCUUGAGUCCGGGAGAGGUGAGUGGAACUGCGAGUGUAGAGGUGAAAUUCGUAGAUAUUCGCAAGAACACCAGGGGCGAAGGCGGCUCACUGGCCCGGUACUGACGCUGAGGCACGAAAGCGUGGGGAAGCAAACA
This 208-nucleotide ribosomal RNA is filed under the name uncultured bacterium. RNAcentral describes it as "partial 16S ribosomal RNA". It matches the Rfam family "Bacterial small subunit ribosomal RNA", at positions 568 to 774 of the family's 1533-position model. The record is from RNAcentral.